AACUCAGACUGCUCCGGACAGUGGCGAACCUGCCAAGGAUUUCCAGUCACAUGAAAGCCAAGAGGAGCAGUAGCCGUUGCAGGCAGAUGAAGGAAUCAAUUUUUUUUAUGGCUCGCUCUCUCGCUGCCCAUGAACCGGGAGGUAGUUAGGUUGAAACAUACCCGACGAGCAACUAGAAGUUUGGUUCUUCUACCCUGUAUGUGGCUGGGGCACGGGACAGAUGUUCUUCGCUUUUUUUCUUGUGACUAUUUGACAUUACAUAAUAAUGCCCCUGUGUUUGAUGGGUUUCUUUCAAUGUGAUACAUUUGUUUGCAAGGAGACGCCGAUCGCAGUUAGUCGGGCUCCAGUACCCUAUAUUCGGUCUUAUCAGGGGAGUACGAUAAAUAUGACACACCAUUAAACGUGUCUUUCACUGAAUAUCGCUUAAAGGAGUUCGUGGUUUCCUUUCGUAGUUCAGUCCUGCAGAAUCUGGAAGGGAAUCAUGGAGUCGACGAUAAUUUAUUUAGUUGACGUGGUGCGUAACGUUGCUUUGCCCGACCUCGUAAACGUGAAUAGUAGCUACAAUGACAUGAGUGCACAGUUGAAACCGUGCCACUUGGUUGGUUUCUAUUCCUCGCUCCCUCAUAGUUAUGACUGUUUGCGUUGCGAGGUACUGCAUAUUUCAUCAUGUAGCCUUUAUUUUUGUUUUUACUUCAGUAUGUUGCUGAGGAGUUCACUGUGUUUUCCAUAACAUGUGCAACGUCGUACCACUUUGUCGCCUGGUGAUGAACUGGCAACCGGGGACAGAUGAUACCACAGGCAGCAGUAUUUGGCAGUCCUUGGGAGGACGAGGUGUAGAUUAUCACUAGUCCCCUUUGUGAUUAUGGUGACACGAGAUUUUCCCCUCUUUGAAGCUCUGAGUAUAGCGUGAUUUGCGGGGUGUGUCUCUGGUUGCUGAAGAUGGGUUGUCCAUUCGAACGUGAAGCUCGAUAAUGUUUGGCGUUAUGAAGCUUGAAAAAAAGAAACAUAACUCCUCAUUAUGUCAUGCGCAAGGAUUGUUCUGCAACCUGUGUGCAAGGGACGGAUUGUUGCAGGACAUGAUGUACGACAUUGUUUUUCGUAUUCCAUGUCUAAAGGCGUGUCAUUUGAGUCACAUUCCUGCACCAAACCUCCAAUGACAGGCGCUGUGCUUUGGAGAGUACGCAAGGAUUUGAAUCGCUCUACCUGUUGGUAGAUAUCUUUUCUUGUUUUCCGUUUUGUCACAGCACCGUAUCUGUCUCCCGGGCAGCGCAAACAAGCAUCAGCUUUCUGCUAGUAUGAUGUUUUCUGGCAUAGGCUUUCAAAGAUAUGGUAAUGGUAAACUGCACGAUGAGACGUUGCUCCCUAGAGGAAGUAUGCAAACCCAUACAGCAGCCAAAGCGUUCGCAAAUAAAUUUCAUUGCAUGACAAGCCCCACGCUCGUCAGCGCAUUUGCCGAAUAUUCUUGGGAGAGUCCCAUUUUUUGAUGUUUUCUGGAAACACGUGCUACCUCUUAACACCCCAGCAAGUUUUCUUACUGAAACCAAGACGCGAU
Molecule: long non-coding RNA, 1552 nt
Filed under: Toxoplasma gondii VEG
Lineage: Eukaryota; Apicomplexa; Conoidasida; Eucoccidiorida; Sarcocystidae
Source: RNAcentral